Molecule: ribosomal RNA, 425 nt
Filed under: uncultured bacterium
Lineage: Bacteria
Description: partial 16S ribosomal RNA
Rfam family: Bacterial small subunit ribosomal RNA
Source: RNAcentral
GUGGGGAAUAUUGGACAAUGGGCGCAAGCCUGAUCCAGCCAUGCCGCGUGAGUGAUGAAGGCCUUAGGGUUGUAAAGCUCUUUUGUCCGGGAAGAUAAUGACUGUACCGGAAGAAUAAGCCCCGGCUAACUUCGUGCCAGCAGCCGCGGUAAUACGAAGGGGGCUAGCGUUGCUCGGAAUCACUGGGCGUAAAGGGCGCGUAGGCGGACUCUUAAGUCGGGGGUGAAAGCCCAGGGCUCAACCCUGGAAUAGCCUUCGAUACUGAGAGUCUUGAGUUCGGAAGAGGUUGGUGGAAUUGCGAGUGUAGAGGUGAAAUUCGUAGAUAUUCGCAAGAACACCAGUGGCGAAGGCGGCCAACUGGUCCGAUACUGACGCUGAGGCGCGAAAGCGUGGGGAGCAAACAGGAUUAGAAACCCCAGUAGUCC